UUAGUGCUGCUCUCAACCUCAAUUGGAGAAGCUUCUGCUUGCGGAGAGCAAUGGUUAACGCAAAGACUUAUAACCACCAAAUUGACCAUUGUGACUAAACUGACUCCUGUCCCUCAUGAUUCUUAUGUUGAAGCCUGAUGAAAGUCUGAGGAUGGGGACUUCGUGAUAAGAAGAGAUACCUGGGGACUCUGUGCGAAAGGAAGACAUAGCCAGAAGACAAAUACCUUCAAGAAUGGAGAAAACCCUUUACCAAACCCUCAUCAUUCUGGUAUCUUGAUUUGCAGUGCUCAGGACUGAGAGGAAAAACAAACAUUCUGUUUUUUUUUUUUUCUAAGCCACGCAGUCUGUGGUAUUCUGCACAGUGGCCUGAGCUAAAACACUUCCUACAAUACAAAUGUAGCUGGAGACUUUUCUCAGCUGUCCCCUUUCGCGGGAAGUUGGCGGGGACUUUAGACACUAAGAGGAUAGAAGACCCAGGCUUCUGCUUUCCCUGCGGAGAUGCUACUUUACCUGAGCGUCUUGACUUUGACAGAAGUUGUGUGAGCUCCUAUUCUGCUGCCGUGACAAGGCACCAUGACCAAGGCAAUCCAUAGAAGAAGGAAUUUAAUUGGGCUUCUGGUUUCAGAGGGUUGGAGUCUAUGAUGGUGGAGGAGAGAUAGCAACUGGCAAGAACUGGAUGCUGACAACAGAAGCUAUGGGCUCCAUCUUGAACUGCAAUCAGGAAGCAGAGAGAAUUCCCUACAGUGGGAAUGGCACAAAGGUUUGAGACCUCAAAGCCUUCCCCAGUGACAUACUUCUUCCAGGAGGCCCAAACUCUUAAAUCUAUUUAAUCUACUAGUUAGGAACCAAAUAUUCAAACAUCUGGACCUAUGUGGGAUGGUACAUUCUUAUUCAAACCACCGCAGAAGCCAGGAACACCAGCACAUCUUUCUGGAUGCAGAGUGAUCUCGGUACUUCCUAGGUUGAGAAACUCCAAGCACUUUGGUGAGGACACUGGUUUUACACAGUGCCAACUCACCGGGGGCAUCCUAUGGGAAAUGUAGUCAUGCUUUAUGGUUCCUUUCAGACGCAAGCUGUUUCUCCAGU
This is a long non-coding RNA of Arvicola amphibius (Eurasian water vole), 1086 nucleotides long. RefSeq lists it as uncharacterized. The transcript has 2 exons. The record is from RefSeq and is a predicted model, not a curated record. Lineage: Eukaryota; Metazoa; Chordata; Mammalia; Rodentia; Cricetidae.